CCUACGGGGGGCAGCAGUGGGGAAUAUUGGACAAUGGGCGAAAGCCUGAUCCAGCCAUGCCGCGUGUGUGAAGAAGGCCUUCGGGUUGUAAAGCACUUUCAGUGGGGAAGAAAGCCUUGGGGCUAAUACCCUCGAGGAAGGACAGCACCCACAGAAGAAGCACCGGCUAACUCCGUGCCAGCAGCCGCGGUAAUACGGAGGGUGCGAGCGUUAAUCGGAAUUACUGGGCGUAAAGCGAGCGUAGGCGGUCUGAUAAGCCGGUUGUGAAAGCCCCGGGCUCAACCUGGGAACGGCAUCCGGAACUGUCAGGCUAGAGUGCAGGAGAGGAAGGUAGAAUUCCCGGUGUAGCGGUGAAAUGCGUAGAGAUCGGGAGGAAUACCAGUGGCGAAGGCGGCCUUCUGGACUGACACUGACGCUGAGGUUCGAAAGCGUGGGUAGCAAACAGGAUUAGAUACCCCGGUAGUC
This 465-nucleotide ribosomal RNA is filed under the name Vreelandella stevensii. Its description in RNAcentral is "partial 16S ribosomal RNA". It matches the Rfam family "Bacterial small subunit ribosomal RNA", at positions 338 to 795 of the family's 1533-position model. The record is from RNAcentral. Lineage: Bacteria; Pseudomonadati; Pseudomonadota; Gammaproteobacteria; Oceanospirillales; Halomonadaceae.